AGCAGCCGCGGUAAUUCCAGCUCCAAUAGCGUAUAUUAAAGUUGUUGCAGUUAAAAAGCUCGUAGUUGAAUUUCGGGAUCAAUACGUCGGUCGUGCUUCGGUACGUACUGGCGUCAUUGAUUUCUCCCUUCUGACGAACCAUGAUGUCAUUAAUUUGGUGUUAUGGGAAAUCAGGACUGUUACUUUGAAAAAAUUAGAGUGUUUAAAGCAAGCUAACGCUUGAAUACAUUAGCAUGGAAUAAUGAAAUAGGACGUUCGAUCCUAUUUUGUUGGUUUCUAGGAUUGACGUAAUGAUUAAUAGGGAUAGUUGGGGGCAUUAGUAUUCAAUUGUCAGAGGUGAAAUUCUUGGAUUUAUUGAAGACUAACUACUGCGAAAGCAUUUGCCAAGGAUGUUUUCAUUAAUCAAGAACGAAAGUUAGGGGAUCGAAGACGAUCAGAUACCGUCGUAGUCUUAACCAUAAACUAUGCCGACUAGGGAUCGAAUGACGUUAAUUUUUAAUGACUCAUUCGGCGCCUUACG
RNAcentral lists this ribosomal RNA (520 nucleotides) under uncultured Glomus. RNAcentral describes it as "SSU rRNA". It matches the Rfam family "Eukaryotic small subunit ribosomal RNA", at positions 569 to 1092 of the family's 1831-position model. The record is from RNAcentral. Lineage: Eukaryota; Fungi; Glomeromycota; Glomeromycetes; Glomerales; Glomeraceae.